This is a long non-coding RNA of Saccostrea cuccullata (small rock oyster), 244 nucleotides long. RefSeq lists it as uncharacterized. Lineage: Eukaryota; Metazoa; Mollusca; Bivalvia; Ostreida; Ostreidae. The transcript has 3 exons. The record is from RefSeq and is a predicted model, not a curated record.
UGGAAAAAGUUAAAAUUUUAUGAAAUCAAUUUAUUCACUUUUUAUUUUUCUUUCCAGAAACAAUUACGUGGAAUUCCCAUCACUAUGUGCAAUCGUGGAGAUAAUAACAAAUGCUGUUACAACAAUUUCUUCAACGGAACAGCGUGUUUAGAAUGUCCUCCUGGUUACUAUGGAGUUAACUGUAGUGCACUUUGUAGCCAAGGUUCUUACGGACAUCUGUGCUCACAGACAUGCAAGAAGUGCC